Molecule: long non-coding RNA, 553 nt
Filed under: Elaeis guineensis (African oil palm)
Lineage: Eukaryota; Viridiplantae; Streptophyta; Magnoliopsida; Arecales; Arecaceae
Description: long non-coding RNA (EGUI_LNC050313)
Source: RNAcentral
AGGCCUACAGAAAUAACAUUUUAAAAAAAAUUGAGAUAGAAAUGACAAUCAUUAAGAACAAUGGUAUGGGACUCAAAUACAAGUUUCAAGAUUUCUAAUGCUAGAACUAGAACUGGUCUUCCAUCUCCAACGUUCAGGAACCUCUCGCCUUGCUCAAAUUUUCGACUGACUUGCAACCCCUGCAAUGAAUUGCAAAUAUGGUAUGGGUUACCGAUAUCCAAUACCCAAUCAGUUAUAUCACAAAUAGAGAAAUUGCAAGAAGUUAUCAUAUAAAUACCUUGCCCAGCAACAGCUUGCUUCUUUCUCUGCCUGUUCGGAUCUAGGGAGGCAAUGUACUGAGGAUAUUUUCUCUUCCAGUGCCCCCACUUCUUGUAAAAGAAGCAUUCAGUUUAACUCUUAUCAGGCUUGAUCUUUCUGGUCUGGUCCUGCACUGAUGUCCCAGUCUGAACUUGCAUCUUCUUCACUUUCUUCUUCUUGUUCUUCUUUCCUUUCUCAAAAGGUCGAGAACCAGAAGAUGAACCUCCCACUAAGUGUUGGAAAUAGUAUCCCAAAG